UGAGAGAAAAAGGGAGAGGAGAGCACGAAAACAAGAAAGAAAAAGAGAGAAAGAAAGAGAGAAAGAAGGAGAAGAGGAAAGGGGUUUCAAGAAUAUCUAGGUGCCUAAGGAUUGAUUUGCUUUGUGUUAUUGAACACUACUAAGGAGUUGAAGCUUUGGUCGAAGAGGACAGGAGAUUGAUUGAGGAGAGUAUGAAGAUGUCCAAGGAGAAGGAGAAACUGGCCGCUGAGAAAAAGUUGUUCGAUGAACUUGAAACAACAAAACGAUCAUUGGAAAAGUAUCGAGGCAUCAGCAAAGCGAACAAUGAUGAAGCCUUGAAGCUGGAGAAGGAUCUUACGAAGAGCCAUGAGAAGUCAAACAAUCUGGAGAAAAAGGUCUCCAAACUGGAACAAAAGUUGUUGACCCUCGAGCAAGAUAGUGAAAGCAACCUGGAGCGAUUCAAAUGAGAUUUAUUGUAAAGAACGCCCUAAACUAGUACUUAAUAAAACAUUCACAUAUCAUUGGUCCAUAAAGAAAACCACUUUUUAUAAAGGUCUCAGUGAGGACUUGCUUAAAACAAUGCAA
Long non-coding RNA from Humulus lupulus (European hop), 564 nucleotides. RefSeq lists it as uncharacterized. NCBI's taxonomy places the organism in Eukaryota, Viridiplantae, Streptophyta, Magnoliopsida, Rosales, Cannabaceae. The record is from RefSeq and is a predicted model, not a curated record. The transcript is spliced from 3 exons.